AGGUGAUGGACAACAGGUUGAUAUUCCUGUACUACCGAUAACCGUUUGAGAGAAGGGAUGACACAGUAGGAUAAGCUAAGCACACUGUUGGUUAUGUGUGCCCAAGCAUUGAGGCAGUCAAAGUAGGCAAAUCCGCUUUGAUAAUGCUGGGAUGUGAUGGGGAGCGAAAUUUAGUAGCGAAGUAGCUGAUUUCACACUGUCAAGAAAAGUCUCUAUCGAGGUUAAAGGUACCCGUACCGCAAACCGACACAGGUGGGUGAGGAGAGUAUCCUAAGGCCAGCGAGAGAACUGUUGUUAAGGAACUCGGCAAAAUGACCCCGUAACUUAGGGAUAAGGGGUGCCACCAUCAGGUGGCCGCAGAGAAUAGGCCCAAGCGACUGUUUACCAAAAACAUAGGUUUCUGCUAAGUCGCAAGACGAUGUAUAGGAGCUGACGCCUGCCCGGUGCUGGAAGGUUAAGGGGAUCUGUUAGAG
This 473-nucleotide ribosomal RNA is filed under the name Clostridioides difficile. RNAcentral describes it as "bacterial LSU rRNA". It matches the Rfam family "Bacterial large subunit ribosomal RNA", at positions 1413 to 1895 of the family's 2925-position model. The record is from RNAcentral. Lineage: Bacteria; Bacillati; Bacillota; Clostridia; Peptostreptococcales; Peptostreptococcaceae.